CUUGGAAAAGAAGUAUAAACAAAAAAAAAAAAAACUUGGAAAAGAAGUAUAAAAAAAUGUUUAUUUAUACCAAUUUAUUUUUGUUCUAACAAACCCUAGCUAUUUUUCCCCCUUUCAACUCAUAAUCGCAAAACACACAAAUCUAUCAGAAAGAGAAGCACACAACGAUAAAGAGAAAAAGUCUGGAUUCUACAGUGAUUCAUUGUCGUACGAUCAUCGGGGAAGGUUCUGUAAUCUUGAAUUCUCCAUCAGAAUAACAAUCAUGAGAUUCAUGAAGGGGAGUAAAGUGGAGGUACUAAGAAAGAAAGAGGCGACUCCUGCUGAAUGGGCUUGUGCUAAGAUUAUUUCAGGCAAUGGGCACACUUAUAGUGUCGUAUUCGAAGGUUCUUGUGGCAUGAGAAGUGAAGCACUUGUGGAGAGAGUGCCAAGGAAGGCCAUUAGACCCUGCCCUCCUUCUGUGGGAAGUGUGGAGAGUUGUGCAGUUGGAGAUAUUGUGGAAGUUUUUGAUGUUGGUUCUUGGAAAAUAGCCAUGGUUGUGAAGCCUUUCGGCAGAGAUUAUUAUUUGGCUAGGCUACUGGGGUCUUGUGAGGAGUUCAGAGUUCACAAAUCCAACGUUCGGGUGCGUCAGUCUUGGCAAAAUAAUGAAUGGAUUGUGAUCAGAAAGGGUUUGGACAGUUGUGAUUUGGUGAAAUCCAACAAACCAUCUAGCUCGUAUUGUCAUCAGAUUACUUCUGGAGUUCCACAAUUCAUUUCAAGAAGAAAGAUGCAGGCAGGAUAUAAUUGUUUAGCUGCUCAAGACAAUACAUGCUUUCAAGAGCCUUAUACUGUCUCAUCUAGGAUAUUGAAGAGAUCUCUCCCUUAUUGCUCCUCUAAUAUUGAACCAUAUGCCAGAAAAACGAGAGGAAUCCAGAAAGAGGGUGAAUCCCUCUUGCUGAAAAAGGGCCAAAGUUGGAGGCUUGCAUGCCUUGCUUCCAAAGGUCUAAAGAUGAUGCUGGGUUUUGCUGCCUUUCUCUGGGCUUAAACAAUUGUGCAAGCACUUCAUCCAUAAUGUAUAUGUAUGUGUCCGUGUGUGUCUGUGUAUAGCAAUAUGUCAUUCCUGCUGGUAAUCCCCAAUUCCAGGAUUGGAAGAAGUUCUAUAUUAGGACUUUGAGAUCAAAUAUAAUAUUUUAUUUCCAUCUCCAGUGAGCCACUUAUUUGUCUGAGACAAGAUAUCAAAGUGAUUUUCCUCCUUUUAUGCAAUGAGUCCUCGGCUUUACUCCAUUGCUUUGGGGGGGGGGGGAAUGCGAGCUUUCGUGUUCAGAGUAUUGUACAAGUAAAUAACCUAAAAAAAAAAAACAUUCUCCAAGUAAAUAGGCACCACCUACCUUAGAUGUUGGGUAAGGCAAGUCCCAAGAAGGUAUAGGUUGGCUUCCAGCUCCAUCUUUGCUGUGUUGCCCAAACCCAGGGAAGGGCAUUUGCUGAGGAGUAUGGUUUUGAGGGAGGGAAAGCAUGGCUGACAAGCCUUCAGUGGCAUGGUUGAUUUCUGAUCUGCUAGGAACCGUGGGACCCAUAUGGUGCCAACUUUUGAAACUUUUGGGAGAACAAUCUUGAUAUGAUCUCUGGGCAACCCAUCCUUGAUAAAGCCUGUCAAUGAGCGGAAGGGUUGCUGGGACUCUAUCGUACUUAAAUGCUGCUCUUCCUGUAUUAUCAUAGAUUUACUGUCUUGAGAUUUAGUGGUGGCUGGGAAAUUGAAUUUGCAAUGUUUCUUAGGCUUUUAAGAUCGUUGAUGAUCGAGGUCAGACUUAUCCUGAAUUGAUUGUUUGAGGAACAGUUGGUUGAUUUUGAUGGCCACCACGAUCGUUCCUCUGGGUGUGGCAAUGCUUAUGAUGAGUAUUUUUAGCUGAGGAUGGACCGCCUAGGCACACAUUUGAUGCUAAUCUGAGUGAUACUGGAGAGCAAACAAAUGGCGGUUACUAAAUGGAAAUGAGUAUUGAUGUUCUAACUUCACGUGCUAAUUGAUUAUUUUUUUUUACGCAUCUACGAGCUGAUCAACAGCAUUAUUGUACUUGAAAUGGGUUGUUAUCUCUUACAUAAGUAUGUUUAACCAAUUUA
This is an RNA transcript of Juglans regia (Persian walnut), 2091 nucleotides long. RefSeq lists it as uncharacterized. The transcript is spliced from 5 exons. The record is from RefSeq and is a predicted model, not a curated record. NCBI's taxonomy places the organism in Eukaryota, Viridiplantae, Streptophyta, Magnoliopsida, Fagales, Juglandaceae.